Molecule: ribosomal RNA, 1346 nt
Filed under: Mycobacterium sp. DWMJ-1081B1
Lineage: Bacteria; Bacillati; Actinomycetota; Actinomycetes; Mycobacteriales; Mycobacteriaceae
Description: bacterial SSU rRNA
Rfam family: Bacterial small subunit ribosomal RNA
Source: RNAcentral
UUCGGAGGUACUCGAGUGGCGAACGGGUGAGUAACACGUGGGUAAUCUGCCCUGCACUUCGGGAUAAGCCUGGGAAACUGGGUCUAAUACCGGAUAGGACCUUUUGGCGCAUGCCUUUUGGUGGAAAGCUUUUGCGGUGUGGGAUGGGCCCGCGGCCUAUCAGCUUGUUGGUGGGGUGACGGCCUACCAAGGCGACGACGGGUAGCCGGCCUGAGAGGGUGUCCGGCCACACUGGGACUGAGAUACGGCCCAGACUCCUACGGGAGGCAGCAGUGGGGAAUAUUGCACAAUGGGCGCAAGCCUGAUGCAGCGACGCCGCGUGGGGGAUGACGGCCUUUCGGGUUGUAAACCUCUUUCAGCAGGGACGAAGCGCAAGUGACGGUACCUGCAGAAGAAGCACCGGCCAACUACGUGCCAGCAGCCGCGGUAAUACGUAGGGUGCGAGCGUUGUCCGGAAUUACUGGGCGUAAAGAGCUCGUAGGUGGUUUGUCGCGUUGUUCGUGAAAACCGGGGGCUUAACCCUCGGCGUGCGGGCGAUACGGGCAGACUGGAGUACUGCAGGGGAGACUGGAAUUCCUGGUGUAGCGGUGGAAUGCGCAGAUAUCAGGAGGAACACCGGUGGCGAAGGCGGGUCUCUGGGCAGUAACUGACGCUGAGGAGCGAAAGCGUGGGGAGCGAACAGGAUUAGAUACCCUGGUAGUCCACGCCGUAAACGGUGGGUACUAGGUGUGGGUUUCCUUCCUUGGAAUCCGUGCCGUAGCUAACGCAUUAAGUACCCCGCCUGGGGAGUACGGCCGCAAGGCUAAAACUCAAAGGAAUUGACGGGGGCCCGCACAAGCGGCGGAGCAUGUGGAUUAAUUCGAUGCAACGCGAAGAACCUUACCUGGGUUUGACAUGCACAGGACGCCGGCAGAGAUGUCGGUUCCCUUGUGGCCUGUGUGCAGGUGGUGCAUGGCUGUCGUCAGCUCGUGUCGUGAGAUGUUGGGUUAAGUCCCGCAACGAGCGCAACCCUUGUCUCAUGUUGCCAGCGGGUAAUGCCGGGGACUCGUGAGAGACUGCCGGGGUCAACUCGGAGGAAGGUGGGGAUGACGUCAAGUCAUCAUGCCCCUUAUGUCCAGGGCUUCACACAUGCUACAAUGGCCGGUACAAAGGGCUGCGAUGCCGUAAGGUUAAGCGAAUCCUUUUAAAGCCGGUCUCAGUUCGGAUCGGGGUCUGCAACUCGACCCCGUGAAGUCGGAGUCGCUAGUAAUCGCAGAUCAGCAACGCUGCGGUGAAUACGUUCCCGGGCCUUGUACACACCGCCCGUCACGUCAUGAAAGUCGGUAACACCCGAAGCCAGUGGCCUA